UACGAAGGGGGCUAGCGUUGCUCGGAAUCACUGGGCGUAAAGGGCGCGUAGGCGGAUCUUUAAGUCGGGGGUGAAAGCCUGAGGCUCAACCUCAGAAUUGCCUUCGAUACUGGAGAUCUUGAGACCGGAAGAGGUGAGUGGAACUGCGAGUGUAGAGGUGAAAUGCGCAGAUAUCAGGAAGAACACCCGUGGCGAAAGCGGCUCUCUGGGACGGUACUGACGCUGAGACGCGAAAGCGUGGGGAGCGAACAGG
This 253-nucleotide ribosomal RNA is filed under the name uncultured bacterium. RNAcentral's name for it is "partial 16S ribosomal RNA". It matches the Rfam family "Bacterial small subunit ribosomal RNA", at positions 524 to 776 of the family's 1533-position model. The record is from RNAcentral.